This 426-nucleotide ribosomal RNA is filed under the name Triticum aestivum (bread wheat). RNAcentral describes it as "partial small subunit ribosomal RNA". Lineage: Eukaryota; Viridiplantae; Streptophyta; Magnoliopsida; Poales; Poaceae. The record is from RNAcentral.
AUGCUUAGGAAGUUUUUCUGGGGAAGCAUGAAAGGGGAGAGAAAGGCAGCAUGGGUGUCAUGGGACACGCUUAUAAUGCCGAAAUAUUUGGGAGGUCUGGGCUUUCAGGAUACUGAGUUGUUCACCCUAUGUGUAUUAGCAAAGCAGUCAUGGCAUUUACUAAAGGAUCCAGAGUCGCUGAGUUCAAGACUAUUGAAAGUUGUGUACUACCCAGAUUGUAAUGUUCUUGAAGCAGAAUUGGGGUCUCACCCAUCACAAGUAUGGCGGGCUAUUUGUGCAGACACUGAUGUCCUGAAGCAAGGAAUUGUGAAGAGGAUCGGAAACGGGCAGACAACUAAUAUAUGGAACCAGAAUUGGAUCCUGCGUGAUCACAUGUUACGAGCUCUCCAUCCAAAGUCAUUGACCCCUUCCCCCCUUUCCUGGUGA